This 428-nucleotide ribosomal RNA is filed under the name uncultured archaeon. Its description in RNAcentral is "bacterial SSU rRNA". It matches the Rfam family "Archaeal small subunit ribosomal RNA", at positions 474 to 903 of the family's 1478-position model. The record is from RNAcentral.
UACCAGCUCUCCGAGUGGUGGGGAUGCUUAUUGGGCCUAAAGCAUUCGUAGCCUGCUUGACAAGUCCUCCGUUAAAUCCAACGAUUCAAUCGUUGGGCUGCGGGGGAUACUGUCCGGCUAGGGGGCGGGAGAGGCCGACGGUAUCCUCGGGGUAGGGGUGAAAUCCUAUAAUCCCGGGAGGACCACCAGUGGCGAAGGCUGUCGGCUAGAACGCGCUCGACGGUGAGGGAUGAAAGCUGGGGGAGCGAACCGGAUUAGAUACCCGGGUAGUCCCAGCUGUAAACGAUGCAGGCUAGGUGUUGGCGCGGCUACAUGCCGCUCCAGUGCCGCAGGGAAGCCGUUAAGCCUGCCGCCUGGGAAGUACGGCCGCAAGGCUUAAACUUAAAGGAAUUGGCGGGGAGCACCACAAGGUGUGAAGCUUGCGGUUU